AUUGAACGCUGGCGGCAUGCCUUACACAUGCAAGUCGAACGGCAGCACGGGGGCAACCCUGGUGGCGAGUGGCGAACGGGUGAGUAAUACAUCGGAACGUGCCCGGUCGUGGGGGAUAACGUAGCGAAAGUUACGCUAAUACCGCAUACGAUCUGCGGAUGAAAGCGGGGGACCUUCGGGCCUCGCGCGAUCGGAGCGGCCGAUGUCAGAUUAGGUAGUUGGUGGGGUAAAGGCCUACCAAGACGACGAUCUGUAGCUGGUCUGAGAGGACGACCAGCCACACUGGGACUGAGACACGGACCAGACUCCUACGGGAGGCAGCAGUGGGGAAUGUUGGACAAUGGGCGCAAGCCUGAUCCAGCCAUUCCGCGGGCAGGACGAAGGCCUUCGGGUUGUAAACUGCUUUUGUAUGGAACGAAAAGGAUCUGGCUAAUACCUGGGGCUCAUGACGGUACCGUAAGAAUAAGCACCGGCUAACUACGUG
RNAcentral lists this ribosomal RNA (484 nucleotides) under uncultured bacterium. RNAcentral describes it as "partial 16S ribosomal RNA". It matches the Rfam family "Bacterial small subunit ribosomal RNA", at positions 29 to 507 of the family's 1533-position model. The record is from RNAcentral.